CAAUAGCGUAUAUUUAAGUUGUUGCAGUUAAAAAGCUCGUAGUUGGAUUUCGGAUGGGACUUGCCGGUCCGUCGUUUCGAUGUGCACUGGCCAGUCCUAUCUUGUUGUCGGGGACUAGCUCCUGGGCUUCACUGUCCGGGACUAGGAGCUGACGAGGUUACUUUGAGUAAAUUAGAGUGUUCAAAGCAAGCCUACGCUCUGAAUACAUUAGCAUGGAAUAACACGAUAGGACUCUGGCUUAUCUUGUUGGUCUGUGAGACCAGAGUAAUGAUUAAGAGGGACAGUCGGGGGCAUUCGUAUUCCAUUGUCAGAGGUGAAAUUCUUGGAUUUAUGAAAGACGAACUUCUGCGAAAGCAUUUGUCAAGGAUGUUUUCAUUA
Molecule: ribosomal RNA, 378 nt
Filed under: uncultured eukaryote
Lineage: Eukaryota
Description: partial 18S ribosomal RNA
Rfam family: Eukaryotic small subunit ribosomal RNA
Source: RNAcentral